RNAcentral lists this ribosomal RNA (253 nucleotides) under uncultured bacterium. RNAcentral describes it as "partial 16S ribosomal RNA". It matches the Rfam family "Bacterial small subunit ribosomal RNA", at positions 524 to 776 of the family's 1533-position model. The record is from RNAcentral.
UACGGGGGGGGCAAGCGUUGUUCGGAAUUACUGGGCGUAAAGGGCCAGUAGGCGGCCAACUAAGUCGGAUGUGAAAUCCCCAGGCUCAACCUGGGAACUGCAUCCGAUACUGGAUGGCUUGAAUUCGGGAGAGGGAUGCAGAAUUCCAGGUGUAGCGGUGAAAUGCGUAGAUAUCUGGAGGAACACCGGUGGCGAAGGCGGCAUCCUGGACCGACACUGACGCUGAGGCGCGAAGGCCAGGGGAGCAAACGGG